UGGAUAAUCUAGUCUCGUGACUGUGUCUCUAUUUUUCUGUGUAGGAGCAGGAGCUUCACGUCAGACCUCCACCAACCACAUGUUUGUUCUCUAACAGAAACUCUGUGAACCACACAGUCUUUCUGGUGGAUCAAGUUCAGCAGAAGACGAUUGAAAACCUGCAAAAACAUUUAGAUUGCCAGAGAAGUGAUGAAGACUUUCCUGAUAUUCCAGCAUCAGUUUUGAAAGAUCAAAACUGGAAAUCAUAAAGUAAAGAGGAAUGGGUCAACAGAUACU
Molecule: long non-coding RNA, 276 nt
Organism: Nematolebias whitei (Rio pearlfish)
Lineage: Eukaryota; Metazoa; Chordata; Actinopteri; Cyprinodontiformes; Rivulidae
Exons: 3
Source: RefSeq, a predicted model, not a curated record